Molecule: small RNA, 882 nt
Filed under: uncultured Acidimicrobiales bacterium
Lineage: Bacteria; Bacillati; Actinomycetota; Acidimicrobiia; Acidimicrobiales
Description: bacterial SSU rRNA
Rfam family: Bacterial small subunit ribosomal RNA (bases 1-490)
Source: RNAcentral
AUGGCUGUCGUCAGCUCGUGCCGUGAGAUGUUGGGUUAAGUCCCGCAACGAGCGCAACCCUUGUCCUAUGUUGCCAGCGGGUAAUGCCGGGGACUCGUAGGAGACUGCCGGGGUCAACUCGGAGGAAGGUGGGGAUGACGUCAAGUCAUCAUGCCCCUUACGUCCAGGGCUGCACACAUGCUACAAUGGCCGGUACAAAGGGCUGCUAUCCCGCGAGGGUGAGCGAAUCCCAAAAAGCCGGUCUCAGUUCGGAUCGUAGUCUGCAACUCGACUACGUGAAGUCGGAGUCGCUAGUAAUCCCGGAUCAGCAACGCCGGGGUGAAUACGUUCCCGGGCCUUGUACACACCGCCCGUCACACCACGAAAGUCGGUAACACCCGAAGCCAGUGGCCCAACCGCAAGGAGGGAGCUGUCGAAGGUGGGAUCGGUGAUUGGGGUGAAGUCGUAACAAGGUAGCCGUACCGGAAGGUGCGGCUGGAUCACCUCCUUUCUAAGGAGUACCUGCUCAGGCAUCUUGUCUCUUUUUGAGGCGACCUGUCUGAGAACUCCCAGUUGAUCACUAGCCAGUUGGCAUCCUGUCCGUCAGGUCAUGGUCGAAGAUUUCGGUCUCCCAUGGCACGUCGGCGAGAUGCCUAAGCAAUCCUCUGUUCCGUUUUCUGGGGGCGCCGCAGCGCGGCGUCCCCGGCGUGUCGUGGGCCCUUUGUGUGCCCGGCGCCCCUUGAGAACUCCAUAGCGAGCACGAGCAUCUUUGUUUACCAAGCUACAAAGAGCCAACGGUGGAUGCCUUGGCGCCUGAAGCCGAUGAAGGACGUGGGUGGCUGCGAUAAGCUCGGGUGAGGUGCUGACCAACCUUUGACCCCGAGAUCUCCGAAUGGGGAAACC